CAAAGACCAGACGGAUGCUCACCCGACGUCGCUGCAGGGCCUCCGGACCAGCAAAACGCCCUGGAAAGACUGCAGCAGCUGGAACAGGAAGUGGUUGGAGGAGAGCAGGCCAGGAACAAAGAGCUGAAGCAGAGACAGAGGCAGAGGAGGAACCUGGCCGACCAGAGGAAGGUCCACCUUAUCCGCGCUCUGUCGGAGGACGGCGAGGACAGCGAACAAGUGCUGUUGAGCGUCUACAACUCCAUCCAGGAAGAGGUCCAUGCCAAAAGCCACAUUCUGGUCAAGGUCCAGGGCAAGCUGAAAGCGGCCAAACUGGAGAUCCGCGACCUGCAGGCGGAGUUCGAGGUGGAGCGGGACGACUACCUGGCGACGAUCCGGCGCCUGGAGAGGGAGGGCCAGUUGCUGCACGGCCUGCUGGAGCGCAUGGCGCCCCUGGUGCGCCGCGACUGCAACUACAGCCACCUGGACCGCUUGAAGAAAGAGGCGGUCUGGGACGAGGACGGCGCCACCUGGCGGCUGCCCGAUGUCACGGUGCAGAAAACGACGCUGCCUUCAGCAGCAGCGGCUCUGAAACUUUCAGCUGGCAGAGGAUCAGCUGUUGA
Molecule: long non-coding RNA, 602 nt
Filed under: Cyclopterus lumpus (lumpfish)
Lineage: Eukaryota; Metazoa; Chordata; Actinopteri; Perciformes; Cyclopteridae
Description: lncRNA (ENSCLMG00005001324.1)
Source: RNAcentral